GACGAACGCUGGCGGCGUGCUUAACACAUGCAAGUCGAACGGAAAGGCCCUGCUUUUGUGGGGUGCUCGAGUGGCGAACGGGUGAGUAACCCGUGAGUAACCUUCCCUUGACUUUGGGAUAACUUCAGGAAACUGGGGCUAAUACCGGAUAGGAGCUCCUGCUGCAUGGUGGGGGUUGGAAAGUUUCGGCGGUUGGGGAUGGACUCGCGGCUUAUCAGCUUGUUGGUGGGGUAGUGGCUUACCAAGGCUUUGACGGGUAGCCGGCCUGAGAGGGUGACUGGCCACAUUGGGACGGAGAUAGGGCCCAGACUCCUACGGGAGGCAGCAGGGGGGAAUAUUGCACAAUGGGCGGAAGCCUGAUGCAGCAACGCCGCGUGCGGGAUGACGGCCUUCGGGUUGUAAACCGAUUUCGCCUGUGACGAAGCGUGAGUGACGGUAAUGGGUAAAGAAGCACCGGCUAACUACGUG
This 468-nucleotide ribosomal RNA is filed under the name uncultured bacterium. RNAcentral's name for it is "partial 16S ribosomal RNA". It matches the Rfam family "Bacterial small subunit ribosomal RNA", at positions 28 to 507 of the family's 1533-position model. The record is from RNAcentral.